GAUGAACGCUGGCGGCGUGCCUAAUACAUGCAAGUCGAGCGAACGGACGAGAAGCUUGCUUUUCUGAUGUUAGCGGCGGACGGGUGAGUAACACGUGGAUAACCUACCUAUAAGACUGGGAUAACUUCGGGAAACCGGAGCUAAUACCGGAUAAUAUUUUGAACCGCAUGGUUCAAAAGUGAAAGACGGUCUUGCUGUCACUUAUAGAUGGAUCCGCGCUGCAUUAGCUAGUUGGUAAGGUAACGGCUUACCAAGGCAACGAUGCAUAGCCGACCUGAGAGGGUGAUCGGCCACACUGGAACUGGGACACGGUCCAGACUCCUACGGGAGGCAGCAGUAGGGAAUCUUCCGCAAUGGGCGAAAGCCUGACGGAGCAACGCCGCGUGAGUGAUGAAGGUCUUCGGAUCGUAAAACUCUGCUAUUAGGGAAGAACAUAUGUGUAAGUAACUGUGCACAUCUUGACGGUACCUAAUCGGAAAGCCACGGCUAACUACGUG
This 497-nucleotide ribosomal RNA is filed under the name uncultured bacterium. RNAcentral's name for it is "partial 16S ribosomal RNA". It matches the Rfam family "Bacterial small subunit ribosomal RNA", at positions 28 to 507 of the family's 1533-position model. The record is from RNAcentral.